CUGCCGGUGGUCGUGGGACCGCCGGUGGUGAUUUUCCGGCCGGCGAUUUCCUGGGAGAUGGAGGUUUGCGGGGUAGCGGUUCGGGCCCCAAUCCCUUUCCUUUCGUUCUCCCUCGCCCUUCCUCGUCUCUCGGUUCCGUGGCCGACUUGAUGAAGAAGCAGCAGCAGGAGAUUGCAUCCAUGGCCGGAUGCUGUAUCCUUUGCUAUCUUAUUCAUUAACAUGAUCGUGUUUGGAGCGCUGGUCUUUCUGCCCGUUGAUUGAGAUGCAUUGGGCAUAACAAUUGGUGUUGGGAGACAUCAAAUGAUCCACGAAACCAGGUUUAUCCUCAGCUCUUUGGAGUAGGAACUUGUUGCUUGCCACAAAAGACCUGCUUCAGGGACCGGAGACCCUUCAUGACUUGUCUGAACACACAAGCUCCUGCACCACAGACACUCGACCUGAGGUUUCGAUGCCGUCGGCCCCGUCUUCCUCCUCGAUCGGCUUCCUCCAUGACCUUGUAGAUCAAGAACCUCGCCCGCCAGUGCCGCCGCUCCUCGGGGUCCUCCUUGUCGACCCUUGCGUAAGGGUGUGCCAUCCUCAACAAGCUCAUCUCUCAUGAAGAAGCGGAAGAAGAUAAGAGAGGGAAGGCCACCAAGAAGACAGAUUACAUAGCGAUCUUCCUUUGGAUGAAGCAAUUGUCUGUGCUGCGAUGAAGGCAAUGCUUGCCUUCCUAGGCUACAUCGACAGCAGAUGAAGCCAAGAGUGGGAGGCGCAAUGAGGUACAAGCAAUUGCAUGUUCCUUGUCAGAUCAAUUCCUGUCGGCUACGUGUUUGUUUAUUGGCUUCAAUGACUCCUCGGUCAUUAUUAUAUCAUAGUAAAUUACCAAUAGAUCCCAAUCAAA
This is a long non-coding RNA of Musa acuminata subsp. malaccensis (wild Malaysian banana), 880 nucleotides long. RefSeq lists it as uncharacterized. The record is from RefSeq and is a predicted model, not a curated record. Lineage: Eukaryota; Viridiplantae; Streptophyta; Magnoliopsida; Zingiberales; Musaceae.